This is a non-coding RNA of Paramuricea clavata, 249 nucleotides long. NCBI's taxonomy places the organism in Eukaryota, Metazoa, Cnidaria, Anthozoa, Malacalcyonacea, Plexauridae. The record is from the annotation of a GenBank genome assembly.
GCACUAGAUGAGGGUCUAUCAUCUAUGGUCUGUUAUAAUUUGCAUUUCAUGCAAAUAGUGAGCAAAAAUUAAAGCAACUGUGCAAGUUAGAUAUAUAGUACUAUAUCAGUACUAUACACGAACUUUUAUCGAUGGAUAAUUUUGCGACUUUUCAUCCAAUUCAAUCAUAUAUAUGCUCAAAAUCUUCGCGGUAAGUUUCUCUUUACCAUGAAAUUUGACCGAAUAAGUUUCAGAACAAUGUAACGGCGA